This 471-nucleotide ribosomal RNA is filed under the name uncultured bacterium. Its description in RNAcentral is "bacterial SSU rRNA". It matches the Rfam family "Bacterial small subunit ribosomal RNA", at positions 329 to 795 of the family's 1533-position model. The record is from RNAcentral.
GUCCAGACUCCUACGGGAGGCAGCAGUGAGGAAUAUUGGUCAAUGGCCGUAAGGCUGAACCAGCCAAGUAGCGUGAGGGAAGACUGCCCUAUGGGUUGUAAACCUCUUUUAUGCGGGGAUAAAGGUGUCCACGUGUGGAUGUUUGCAGGUACCGCAUGAAUAAGGAUCGGCUAACUACGUGCCAGCAGCCGCGGUCAUACGUAGGAUCCGAGCAUUAUCCGGAGUGGCUGGGUGUAAAGAGUUGCGUAGGUGGCAUAGUAAGUAGCUAGUGAAAUCUGGUGGCUCAACCAUUCAGACUAUUAGCUAAACUGCUAAGCUCGAGACCGUUAGGGGUAACUGGAAUUUCUAGUGUAGGAGUGAAAUCCGUAGAUAUUAGAAGGAACACCGAUAGCGUAGGCAGGUUACUGGGACGGUUCUGACACUAAGGCACGAAAGCGUAGGGAGCAAACGGGAUUAGAUACCCCAGUAUAC